This 497-nucleotide ribosomal RNA is filed under the name uncultured bacterium. RNAcentral describes it as "partial 16S ribosomal RNA". It matches the Rfam family "Bacterial small subunit ribosomal RNA", at positions 28 to 507 of the family's 1533-position model. The record is from RNAcentral.
GAUGAACGCUGGCGGCGUGCCUAAUACAUGCAAGUCGAGCGAACGGACGAGAAGCUUGCUUCUCUGAUGUUAGCGGCGGACGGGUGAGUAAUACGUGGAUAACCUACCUAUAAGACUGGGAUAACUUCGGGAAACCGGAGCUAAUACCGGAUAAUAUUUUGAACCGCAUGGUUCAAAAGUGAAAGACGGUCUUGCUGUCACUUAUAGAUGGAUCCGCGCUGCAUUAGCUAGUUGUUAAGGUAACGGCUUACCAAGGCAACGAUGCAUAGCCGACCUGGGAGGGUGAUCGGCCACACUGGAACGGAGCCACGGUCCAGGCGCCUACGGGAGGCAGCAGUAGGGAAUCUUCCGCAAAGGUCGAAAGCCUGACGGAGCAACGCCGCGUGAGUGAUGAAGGUCUUCGGAUCGUAAAACUCUGUUAUUAGGGAAGAACAUAUGUGUAAGUAACUGUGCACAUCUUGACGGUACCUAAUCAGAAAGCCACGGCUAACUACGUG